GCGUCUCAGCAAUGGUGGGAGCGGCGAACGGCGUAGUAAGACGUAGGAACGUACCCUCGGGACGGGGAUAGCUAUGGGAAACUGUAGGUAAUACCCGAUAAUCUCUGCGGAGCAAAGGUGUGAUUCCGCCUGGGGAGCGGCUUACGCGAUAUUAGCUAGUUGGUAGGGUAAUGGCCUACCAAGGCGAUGAUGUCUAGGGGGUGUGAGAGCAUGGCCCCCACGACCGGAACUGAGAUACUGUCCGGACACCUACGGGUGGCUGCAGUCGAGAAUCUUCCGCAAUGGACGAAAGUCUGACGGAGCGACGCCGCGUGCGGGAUGAAGGCCCUUGGGUUGUAAACCGCUGUCAGAGGGGAUGAAAUCUUCGGAGGUACUCCUCCGAAGUUGACAGAGCCUCAAAGGAAGCACGGGCUAAGUACGUGCCAGCAGCCGCGGUAACACGUACUGUGCGAACGUUAUUCGGAAUCACUGGGCUUAAAGGGUGCGUAGGCGGCAAUUCAAGUCAGAUGUGAAAUGCCUGAGCUCAACUGAGGCAUUGCGUUUGAAACUGAAUCGCUAGAGUAUCCCAGGGGUGUGCGGAACUGCCAGUGGAACGGUGAAAUGUGUUGAUAUUGGCAGGAACACCGGAGGCGAAAGCGGCACACUAGGGGAUAACUGACGCUGAGGCACGAAAGCCAAGGGAGCGAACGGGAUUAGAU
This 698-nucleotide ribosomal RNA is filed under the name uncultured Planctomyces sp. RNAcentral describes it as "bacterial SSU rRNA". It matches the Rfam family "Bacterial small subunit ribosomal RNA", at positions 66 to 783 of the family's 1533-position model. The record is from RNAcentral. Lineage: Bacteria; Pseudomonadati; Planctomycetota; Planctomycetia; Planctomycetales; Planctomycetaceae.